Non-coding RNA from Corylus avellana, 1054 nucleotides. The record is from RefSeq and is a predicted model, not a curated record. Lineage: Eukaryota; Viridiplantae; Streptophyta; Magnoliopsida; Fagales; Betulaceae.
GUACAAAACCUCGUACUUGAAGUACUUUUAGCAAACCUUUUAGUUUCCCAAUCUGUGUGUGUUAAGGAGAUUAGCCUCGGAAUUAUUGGAAACCUUGCCUGCCAUGAAGUUCCGUUGAAACGUAUAGUCUCUAUAAAUGGAUUGGCUGAGAUAAUUGUAGAACAAUUAUUUCUAGACAACGCUCAAUGUCUAUGUGAAGCUUGUCAGUAAUACAUAGGUUGUUAACUUUGGGUUUUCAAAGUGGUGAAUGUAUUACAUGGGCUGAAGCAUUGCAGUCUGAACAUAUUCUAUGCCAGAUUUUAUGGAUUGUGGAAAAUACCUUAAAUUUACAGCUUAUUGAAAAGGUAGAAAAUAUUUACUGAAAUUGCCUUGUAAGCAAGUCUGAUCUGAUUGAAGAUGAUCUUCUCGACCACCAACUAGAUGACUCCAGCAAAGGGCAUAAGGAGGGCUUGACCACUUAUCGCACAAAAUCAAAUGCUAUAAGUACAGCCGUAUCCUUGCAGGGACAAUGACAUAUUUGGAUCUAGGAACUUUCAGUACCUUGCUUAGAAGGAUGAUCUGUAUUUUAACCCAAUGGACUACUUCAAACGACUUUGCUGAAGUGACUAACAUGGCAAAUGAGCUUAACGAAGAUAAUGUCAAUGUGAAUAGAUUGCUUGAUUGCUGUCGUAAAUAUUCUGAGUAAGCUGUUUUUCUCUCUUUCUACUUGAUCUUAUUUGUUGCAAUGCUUCAAGUGAAACAAACGGCUUGUAUUUCUUUGAAUACCAAUUUUUUUUUUUUUUUCCACAAAUCGUAGAGCUUUAACAAAGUUUUUACUUGAAUAAUUAUCUUGUUUGAUUAUUACAUGUCAGCUUUAUGUAAUUUUAAUGUGAAGUGGAAAAUCCAAUAAACACAAAGACAAAGGUGCCAUGGCACCCGUGGCCGAGGGCACAUGAAGCUCAUUUUCUAUCUGAUGGAUACCCUAGUUUUGAGUAAUGCUAUGUCAUUUGGUCAUGCAAUUAAAAUGGAAAAGAAACUUAAAUGGGGAGGAAGGGGAGAGAUCAAUGGGUUGAUU